RNAcentral lists this unclassified non-coding RNA (348 nucleotides) under soil metagenome. Its description in RNAcentral is "partial contains 5.8S ribosomal RNA, internal transcribed spacer 2, and large subunit ribosomal RNA". The stretch from base 1 to 120 matches the Rfam family "5.8S ribosomal RNA", at positions 35 to 154 of the family's 154-position model. The record is from RNAcentral.
GAUGAAGAACGCAGCGAAAUGCGAUAAGUAAUGUGAAUUGCAGAAUUCAGUGAAUCAUCGAAUCUUUGAACGCACAUUGCGCCCGCCAGUAUUCUGGCGGGCAUGCCUGUCUGAGCGUCAUUUCAACCCUCAUGCCCCUAGGGCGUGGUGUUGGGGAUCGGCCAAAGCCCGCGAGGGACGGCCGGCCCCUAAAUCUAGUGGCGGACCCGUCGUGGCCUCCUCUGCGAAGUAGUGAUAUUCCGCAUCGGAAAGCGAUGAGCCCCUGCCGUUAAACCCCCAACUUUCCAAGGUUGACCUCAGAUCAGGUAGGAAUACCCGCUGAACUUAAGCAUAUCAAUAAGCGGAGGA